UCGAUUCAUUUACGAUGACUGCAAUGUGGCAAGGAUCCUUCAGGGGAUUAGUGAAGAUGGACCCAAUGGCCUAUGAUGUAGUAAUAGGACCAGUUUGUCACCAAAAUCACUGGACACUUGUGGUCAUCUAUCCAAAGGAGAAGCGGGCGCUGUACAUUAACCCCCUCGGUGAAAGCCCUGACCAAAUAAAAAAUUGCAAGGAUAUCACAAGGCAAGUCAUGUCAGUGGUAAUGUCAUGAUGUUCUUCUUUCCAAAUAACUAUAUUUUGCUAAUCUACAGAUCUUUCAUGAGACACAAAAACAUAUAUAUCUCGCGAUGGACUUGUGGGCAGAUCCGUGACCAUCCACGUCAGCAAGACUCAACGUCCUGUGGGGCAUGGGUUUGCAAGGUUGUGUGCAAAUGACCCUUUGUUGAAUACAGCUAUUGACUGUUACUAAUUGUACUGUGUCUUUUGUAGUUUGCAGAGCUUGUCCUCAAUGAGGACUUCAGUACUGGGGAUUUCAGUACUGAUGAGGCUGCUACUACUGAGUGGAGAAGGGAAGUAGCUUGCAGACUGGUAGCUGAUUCAGGUUUGUUAGUUUGUCAAUGUAUCAUAAUUAAUGUGUCUGAGAAACUAUUUACACUUGUGUAAUGUGUUAGAAAACUUAUCAGAGCUGUGCAGAGCAUGUGGCGAUGCAUGCCAAAGUCCAGGAAGAAAUGCUCACGAUGACUGGGUAAGCAUCUUCAAAACUGUAUAUUUACAGUAAUGUGAUAAUAAUCUACUACCAUGCUUCUCCUCAGAUCCAGUGCACAACAUGCGAUUUGUGGUUUCAUUGGGUGUGUGUUGGGAGA
Molecule: long non-coding RNA, 831 nt
Organism: Osmerus eperlanus (European smelt)
Lineage: Eukaryota; Metazoa; Chordata; Actinopteri; Osmeriformes; Osmeridae
Exons: 3
Source: RefSeq, a predicted model, not a curated record